GCAUAUCAAAAGCGGAGGAAAAGAAACCAACAGGGAUUGCCUCAGUAGCGGCGAGUGAAGCGGCAAAAGCUCAAAUUUGAAAUCUGGCGUCUUUGGCGUCCGAGUUGUAAUUUGAAGAAGGUAUCUUUGGGCCCGGCUCUUGUCUAUGUUCCUUGGAACAGGACGUCACAGAGGGUGAGAAUCCCGUGCGAUGAGAUGACCCGGGUCUGUGUAAAGUUCCUUCGACGAGUCGAGUUGUUUGGGAAUGCAGCUCUAAGUGGGUGGUAAAUUCCAUCUAAAGCUAAAUAUUGGCGAGAGACCGAUAGCGAACAAGUACAGUGAUGGAAAGAUGAAAAGAACUUUGAAAAGAGAGUGAAAAAGUACGUGAAAUUGUUGAAAGGGAAGGGCUUGAGAUCAGACUUGGUAUUUUGCAUGCUGCUCUCUCGGGGGCGGCCGCUGCGGUUUACCGGGCCAGCAUCGGUUUGGAGCGGCAGGAUAAUGGCGGAGGAAUGUGGCACGGCUUCUGCUGUGUGUUAUAGCCUCUGACGAUGCUGCCAGCCUAGACCGAGGACUGCGGUUUUUAACCUAGGAUGUUGGCAUAAUGAUCUUAAGUCGCCCGUCUUGAAACACGGAC
Molecule: ribosomal RNA, 613 nt
Filed under: Candida albicans
Lineage: Eukaryota; Fungi; Ascomycota; Pichiomycetes; Serinales; Debaryomycetaceae
Description: eukaryotic LSU rRNA
Rfam family: Eukaryotic large subunit ribosomal RNA
Source: RNAcentral